UCUCCUACCUACUGGUUGUAUCGCUAAAAGCACGUCCGUACAACUGUAGACGCCGGGUACCCACUGGCUACUUUGGAGGACGGCGGCCAUAGUUGAAUAUCCAGCGUAGAAAGUGCUGGGCAUGAAGUCUCAAAGAAGGGAUCAAACCGUACCCGAGGAGCCAGAGAACGAAGGAGGUCGACGCUGAAGAAUGCAAAAGGAAAGAAGAGGAAUGAAGAA
Cephus cinctus (wheat stem sawfly) is the source of this 219-nucleotide long non-coding RNA. RefSeq lists it as uncharacterized. The record is from RefSeq and is a predicted model, not a curated record. The transcript has 2 exons. Lineage: Eukaryota; Metazoa; Arthropoda; Insecta; Hymenoptera; Cephidae.